CUCUUACUCCUAAUAUUGCUUGAGCUCAUGAGUUUUAGGUUUUCAAUCAGUUCAUUCAUUGUGAGCAUAUCUAGCUCACGGGUUUCUAAUAUAGCCUUCAUUUUGAUUUCUCAUGCCUCUGGUAGCACUCUGAGUAGUUUUUGAAUAGAUUUUCUUGUGGGUAUAGUUUCACCAUGGGAAUUUAUUUCAUUUAUAAUUGAAGAAAAUCAGAUGUGCAUAUCUUGUAUGGAUUCUCCAUCUUUCAUCCAAAAGAGUUCAUAUUGUCUGUUCACCAUCUUUAUUUUUGAUUUCUUAACUUGAUUUGUUCCUUCAUGGGUUGUCCGUAGUACAUCCCAAAUUUCUUGUCACCCAUGCAAAAACUAUUGUAUUCGUGUGGUUCAAUACCACACAUAAGUAUUGUUAUUUCCUUAGAGUUUCUUUCAACAUCCAACGUAUCCUUUGCAUUGUAUUCAAGUAUGCCUUUAGUAACUUGUGCCUUUCCAUCAUCAUGUCUUCAUUAGAAUGACAGGUCCAUUGAGCACAACAUUCCACGGGUUGUGGUCUUCUCCGAUCAAGUAAUCUUGCAUUCUCUUCUUCUACCACUCAAUAGUAUUUCCCAUUAAAAAGUGAUGGUCGGGUAAUGGACUGUCCUUCUUGUGUAGUUGAUGGUUCUUUCAUUUAAGAUCUUUUGAAGGUAUUAUUCUUAUAUUGAAAAGCCUGCUUUGAUUACAAUAGAAAAUAAUUCAGCACCUUUUAACCAAAGUAACAACCUUAAUUUCUCUAAGGAUUUUACUCACUCUGUAGAACAUCCCAAAUUUCUUUUUCACUCGUGCAAUGAGGCAUCUAUGCUCCUUAUCUUCACAUGCCUUCAACCAUCUUAGUCUCGCUUCCCUCAUCUUGUGCACCAUAGAGGGCACUCCCACAUUUCCCUAUAUAUCUUCAUUCCUGAUUUUGUUUCUCUUAAUAUGGCCACACAUCCAUCUAAGCAUUUUCAUUUCUGCCUACUUUCAUCUUUUGAACGUGAGAACGUUAUCAAAAUUCAAAAAAGAAAAAAAAAAGAGAAUUUUAAGCAAAUACUUUUACAACUGAAAGGUUUCUAUAUCAAUUAAACAUUUCCACAGUAGAUAUGACAAAAUAUCUUCUGUCUUUCCCAAUUUACUCUGGUAUGAUUAUGCUGUUUCAUUUCUUAAAUUUUUUCUUUAGGGAGGAUUAGCUCAAUAUCUCCUAGUUAAGAAGGUAACUCGGAUCUUUGAGAGCUGUUGUAAGAAAUGAUAGACACCAAUUUCUGCUAUUAAAUAGAAAGUUGCCUCGUUGAAGCGAGAUUAUUCAUCCAUACAUCAUUCCAUAUGUAAAAUUUACAUAGGAAGUUGGUAAUUUAAACAUCCAAACUUUCUACAUAAAUACGUUGUUAUUUAAGAUACUCCAAACUUGAUUCUCACAAGCAGCAACUUAUGCUACCCACUCAAUCACACCAAUGGUUGGAGAGUGCUCACCUCAAAGUCAGUUAAUUAAGCUCUUCAGUUUGUUCUGUUUACAACAUCCGUUCUCUGAAAAUUUGAACCUUUUUAGUAGACUUGAUUUGUUGUUAGGUGAGAAAAAGAUUGUCUUUCAACCUUCAGCAAAGAGGUGAUAGAAACAAAUUUGGGUUUAAUAGAAUCUUCAACUCUUACCUUUUGACUAAGUAUUCUCUAAAUUAUCCUAGUAACUCUCUUGCCCAUCAACAUCACUUCAUACAACACGCUGUUGUUGCCAUUAGACAAGUCUCUGAAAAGUAUGAAUCAGCUGGUCGAUGCAUAGGAUAUUGUAGGUCAUUUGAUCCCCUUAAAUAUCUAACUCUCUAGUUUGGUCUUCUUGGAAAUUUCUAGAAUACAAUCAAGUUGGGUGCAAAAUUAGCAUAAUCAAAACAAAAGUUGGGUGGAAAAUUAGUUUGCUUUUAGAUAUUAUGUCCCUUUACGAGCUACAUGGUAUCCACUUAUAGAAGCUUGAAAUUACAAAUCCAGGUACAUCUAAACAUUAAAUUCUAUGAUUACACAGUUUUCCAUAGGGGUAAGGUCUGCGUAUACCCCACCUUCACCCUCCCCAGACCCCACUUGUGGGGGCACACUGCACUGGGUAUGUUGUUAUUGUUGAUUACACAGUUUUCCGUCUUUACUAAAUCAUGCCCAGUCCAUUUAGAAACCCCCAAAAGGAGAGAACCAAGUUGUUACAGAUUAAAGAGCAGUGAGACCAGUAUGAAGGACUUUAUUUAUUUUACCAAUGUAGAAAGACUUCCUUUUACCUAUAUUCCACUUGCGACUUAUCGUCUCAUAUAAUGAAGAUAGCUGAUGGUUAGUAAGUAAAGGACUAAAAGUCAGGCGUUAGGUCCAAUCCUUGCUUUCUGUUGCAUUCUUCCUUGACAUAGUUUUGUAACUUUUGAUAUUUUAAUCUUCUGAAGAAAUGCAGUUAUUAAAGAAAAAUGAAAUCCUAAUCUGAAGAGGGUGAACUCUUUUUGGAAUGGCACUUGUGGAUCGCCUAAUUGACACAGAUUUUGUUUUGUAAAAAUUUAUGUGGAUCAUUUUGUCAAUGAUGGUUGAACGUUACUUGUAUAGAUACAUACACUAACUCAGAGUGCAGUACAAUGAGGAAGAUUUGCAAGAUAUAUUGGGCGCUAGUAAGUGGUGUGAUGGAUAUGGAUGAGUUAAUAUCAUUAUUCUCCCUCUUUUGUCCUGCUAUGCAUGUUCUCACCUCAGUUUUCUGUUGGAGUGUCUAUUCUACAGUAGUCAAUCCAUCAGGUUACUGGAAUUUAAAAGUAAUUUUGGCUGAUAGGUUGUCAUCAAGCAACCAAUUGGUACAAUUAAAUAUCCUGGAGUUGCUAAGGGUUGUAUGUUGCUUCUCCUUCAGGUUUUCAAAUUUAUUUAUUUUAGGCGAACAUUUCCUUGAUCAUCUUUUUAUAAAAGUUGUUAUCAUUCAUGUGGUGCUUCAGAGGACACUAGUGUUGGCUUAAUCGUUUUUUCAAGGUAAGCCAGCUCUGAGCAAUGUUCGCGUUCUUGAAAGGGAUUUGGAGAAUAACUGCACAUUGGUUCAGGUUGAAAUUCAAUAUGGAAGACCACAUCAAAUCUGCAUCCACCUCUCUUUCAUUGGAUUUCCAUUAAUUGUGGCUAUCAAAGACCUGAGAAUCCUGCUCCUGGAGACUCUGGAUAUAACCUGCAUGCACAUCAAAUAGUUAUUAUUCACCCAAUCACAAAUAAGGUAGCAGCACUGACAGUGUGAUGUUUAAGGCUGGAUGGGUCUCAACUCCACAAACCUUAAGCAUGUACUCAUCAAUUUCCUAUGGUCUAACUAUGGAACUAGAUUGAUUGAAUGUUCCCAAGCUUUCGAUGCUUCAGAUCUGGUCAGUUUUGGCUAAUAUACAAAGAGGAUCAUGUUUGAAAAUUGAAUUGUUUUCUUGAACAUUUAAACAAGGCUACCUUUCUAGAUAUCUCGAUUCAAAGUAAACUUGUUGACAGUACUUCA
This is a long non-coding RNA of Solanum dulcamara, 3471 nucleotides long. RefSeq lists it as uncharacterized. The record is from RefSeq and is a predicted model, not a curated record. Lineage: Eukaryota; Viridiplantae; Streptophyta; Magnoliopsida; Solanales; Solanaceae. The transcript has 4 exons.